RNAcentral lists this ribosomal RNA (274 nucleotides) under uncultured bacterium. RNAcentral's name for it is "partial 16S ribosomal RNA". It matches the Rfam family "Bacterial small subunit ribosomal RNA", at positions 523 to 796 of the family's 1533-position model. The record is from RNAcentral.
AUACGGAGGGUGCAAGCGUUACUCGGAAUUACUGGGCGUAAAGGACGCGUAGGCGGUUUAGAAAGUCAGAUGUGAAAGCCUAUGGCUUAACCAUAGAACUGCAUUUGAAACUUCCAAACUAGAGUGGGGGAGGGGUCAGUGGAAUUAGUGGUGUAGGGGUAAAAUCCGUAGAGAUCACUAGGAAUACUCAUUGCGAAGGCGACUGACUGGAACUUAACUGACGCUGAGGCGUGAAAGCGUGGGGAGCAAACAGGAUUAGAAACCCGGGUAGUCC